Molecule: ribosomal RNA, 430 nt
Filed under: Pseudomonas sp.
Lineage: Bacteria; Pseudomonadati; Pseudomonadota; Gammaproteobacteria; Pseudomonadales; Pseudomonadaceae
Description: bacterial SSU rRNA
Rfam family: Bacterial small subunit ribosomal RNA
Source: RNAcentral
CUAACCAUGCAGUCGAGCGGUAGAGAGAGCUUGCUUCUCUUGAGAGCGCGGACGGGUGAGUAAUGCCUAGGAAUCUGCCUGGUAGUGGGGGAUAACGUUCGGAAACGGACGCUAAUACCGCAUACGUCCUACGGGAGAAAGCAGGGGACCUUCGGGCCUUGCGCUAUCAGAUGAGCCUAGGUCGGAUUAGCUAGUUGGUGAGGUAAUGGCUCACCAAGGCGACGAUCCGUAACUGGUCUGAGAGGAUGAUCAGUCACACUGGAACUGAGACACGGUCCAGACUCCUACGGGAGGCAGCAGUGGGGAAUAUUGGACAAUGGGCGAAAGCCUGAUCCAGCCAUGCCGCGUGUGUGAAGAAGGUCUUCGGAUUGUAAAGCACUUUAAGUUGGGAGGAAGGGUUGUAGAUUAAUACUCUGCAAUUUUGACGUUA